RNAcentral lists this ribosomal RNA (480 nucleotides) under uncultured bacterium. RNAcentral's name for it is "partial 16S ribosomal RNA". It matches the Rfam family "Bacterial small subunit ribosomal RNA", at positions 27 to 507 of the family's 1533-position model. The record is from RNAcentral.
GGAUGAACGCUAGCGGGAGGCCUAACACAUGCAAGCCGAGCGGUAUUGUUUCUUCGGAAAUGAGAGAGCGGCGUACGGGUGCGUAACACGUGUGCAACCUGCCUUUAUCUGGGGGAUAGCCUUUCGAAAGGAAGAUUAAUACUCCAUAAUAUAUUGAACGGCAUCGUUUAAUAUUGAAAGCUCCGGCGGAUAGAGAUGGGCACGCGCAAGAUUAGCUAGUUGGUGAGGUAACGGCUCACCAAGGCGAUGAUCUUUAGGGGGCCUGAGAGGGUGAUCCCCCACACUGGUACUGAGACACGGACCAGACUCCUACGGGAGGCAGCAGUGAGGAAUAUUGGUCAAUGGGUGCAAGCCUGAACCAGCCAUCCCGCGUGAAGGACGACUGCCCUAUGGGUUGUAAACUUCUUUUGUAUAGGGAUAAACCUACCCUCGUGAGGGUAGCUGAAGGUACUAUACGAAUAAGCACCGGCUAACUCCGUG